UACGGAGGGUGCGAGCGUUGUCCGGAAUCACUGGGCGUAAAGGGCGCGUAGGCGGCCUGAUAAGUAGGGGGUGAAAUCCUGCGGCUUAACCGCAGGGCUGCCUUCUAAACUGUCAGGCUUGAGCACAGUAGAGGCAGGUGGAAUUCCCGGUGUAGCGGUGGAAUGCGUAGAGAUCGGGAAGAAUAUCAGUGGCGAAGGCGGCCUGCUGGGCUGUUGCUGACGCUGAGGCGCGACAGCGUGGGGAGCAAACAGG
RNAcentral lists this ribosomal RNA (253 nucleotides) under uncultured bacterium. Its description in RNAcentral is "partial 16S ribosomal RNA". It matches the Rfam family "Bacterial small subunit ribosomal RNA", at positions 524 to 776 of the family's 1533-position model. The record is from RNAcentral.